AAACGUUUUUUUGUCAUUAAAUCACUCCUCAGCACUGCACCUGUGCCGGCAGCCCUGGCUGGACAGGCCAUUCCAACUUCAGAUGGGUGCUGGGGCAGUGCUGCAGCAGGCUGAUGGUAACAUCCAGCGACACCAGUAUUGUUUCACCCCUGGAUCAUUGAGUAAUGUUCUGUUUUUGUGUCCUCUGUUCCUCUUGUUCCCUUUUCUCCUGUUAUCGUUUCCUUAAAUAUGCUUUCCAAGGUACCUGGAUUGCCGGUGGAGCAGGAGUAGAGUUGCAGAGCAAGGAGUGGGCCCAUUGGUGGUUGGACUAAUGGGUGGUGCUAUAAGAUCACCUGGAGGAAUGGACGCUCGCUCUCUUCUUCUCUCUUGACUUGGCUCUGCUCUCUGCACUCGAUGGCUGCUCCACUGGGGAGAGCCUCAGCCCGUCAGCGCUUCACACCGACGUCGCGUUUUACACUCUUUGUUUGAUCACCCCUAGACACUUUGCAUUACACUUUUCUUUAUCAUAUACUGACUUUACUCUUUUAAUGUU
Long non-coding RNA from Sardina pilchardus (European sardine), 532 nucleotides. RefSeq lists it as uncharacterized. The transcript has 2 exons. Lineage: Eukaryota; Metazoa; Chordata; Actinopteri; Clupeiformes; Clupeidae. The record is from RefSeq and is a predicted model, not a curated record.